This 399-nucleotide ribosomal RNA is filed under the name Sordariomycetes sp. RNAcentral describes it as "eukaryotic LSU rRNA". The record is from RNAcentral. Lineage: Eukaryota; Fungi; Ascomycota; Sordariomycetes.
UUGGCGMGGUGCMUUCMGAGUUCCCUGGAACGKGAMGCCUUAGAGGGUGAGAGCCCCGUACGGUUGGACACCAAGCCUCUGUAAAGCUCCUUCGACGAGUCGAGUAGUUUGGGAAUGCUGCUCUAAAUGGGAGGUAAAUUUCUUCUAAAGCUAAAUACCGGCCAGAGACCGAUAGCGCACAAGUAGAGUGAUCGAAAGAUGAAAAGCACUUUGAAAAGAGGGUUAAAUAGCACGUGAAAUUGUUGAAAGGGAAGCGUUUACGGCCAGACCUUUUCCUGGCGGAUCAUCUGGUGUUCUCACCAGUGCACUUCGCCAGGUUUAGGCCAGCAUCGGCUUCUGUAGGGGGAUAAAAGCAGUGGGAAAGUAGYUCCCUCGGGAGUGUUAUAGCCCUAAGCAUAA